This 623-nucleotide ribosomal RNA is filed under the name uncultured bacterium. RNAcentral's name for it is "bacterial SSU rRNA". It matches the Rfam family "Bacterial small subunit ribosomal RNA", at positions 56 to 669 of the family's 1533-position model. The record is from RNAcentral.
UGCAGUCGAGCGGUAACAUUUCAAAGCUUGCUUUGAAGAUGACGAGCGGCGGACGGGUGAGUAAUGCUUGGGAAUAUGCCUUAUGGUGGGGGACAACAGUUGGAAACGACUGCUAAUACCGCAUAAUGUCUACGGACCAAAGGGGGGGAUCUUCGGACCUCUCGCCAUUUGAUUAGCCCAAGUGAGAUUAGCUAGUUGGUGAGGUAAUGGCUCACCAAGGCGACGAUCUCUAGCUGGUUUGAGAGGAUGAUCAGCCACACUGGGACUGAGACACGGCCCAGACUCCUACGGGAGGCAGCAGUGGGGAAUAUUGCACAAUGGGCGCAAGCCUGAUGCAGCCAUGCCGCGUGUGUGAAGAAGGCCUUCGGGUUGUAAAGCACUUUCAGUAAGGAGGAAAGGGAUGUAGUUAAUAGCUGCAUUCUGUGACGUUACUUACAGAAGAAGCACCGGCUAACUUCGUGCCAGCAGCCGCGGUAAUACGAGGGGUGCAAGCGUUAAUCGGAAUUACUGGGCGUAAAGCGUUCGUAGGCGGUUGAUUAAGCAAGAUGUGAAAGCCCAGGGCUCAACCUUGGAACUGCAUUUUGAACUGGUCAACUAGAGUACUGUAGAGGGUGGUGGAAUUU